RNAcentral lists this ribosomal RNA (449 nucleotides) under uncultured bacterium. RNAcentral's name for it is "partial 16S ribosomal RNA". It matches the Rfam family "Bacterial small subunit ribosomal RNA", at positions 29 to 523 of the family's 1533-position model. The record is from RNAcentral.
AACGAACGCUGGCGGCAUGCCUAACACAUGCAAGUCGAACGAAGGCUUCGGCCUUAGUGGCGCACGGGUGAGUAACGCGUAGGAAACUGCCUAUUGGUGGGGAAUAACGACGGGAAACUGUCGCUAAUACCGCAUAAGCCCUUCGGGGGAAAGAUUUAUCGCCGAUAGAUGUGCCCGCGUCCGAUUAGCUAGUUGGUGAGGUAAUGGCUCACCAAGGCGACGAGCGGUAGCUGGUCUGAGAGGAUGAUCAGCCACACUGGGACUGAGACACGGCCCAGACUCCUACGGGAGGCAGCAGUGGGGAAUAUUGGACAAUGGGCGAAAGCCUGAUCCAGCAAUGCCGCGUGAGUGAUGAAGGCCUUAGGGUUGUAAAGCUCUUUCGGGUGGGACGAUGAUGACGGUACCACCAGAAGAAGCCCCGGCUAACUUCGUGCCAGCAGCCGCAGUAA